GGUUUUGUCCAGUACUGAGGCUCCGAAUGAUCCUCCUCCGGUGCCUUCUCUUUCUGGGGCUCUACCGACUGCUGAAACUUCUCCUAAGCAACCUUUGUGAAGGCUCCCUCUUGUUUGUUUAUUUUGACUCAAGUAUAUGUACAUAUUUGUAACUUAUCGGGGAUAUCAAUAAAUAAGCUUUCCUUCAUUUCAACGUAUUGUGUUAAAUAC
Molecule: long non-coding RNA, 210 nt
Filed under: Malus domestica (apple)
Lineage: Eukaryota; Viridiplantae; Streptophyta; Magnoliopsida; Rosales; Rosaceae
Description: long non-coding RNA (MDOM_LNC016925)
Source: RNAcentral